AACCUGGAAUUCAAAACCGAUUAUUCAGUGAAGGCAUCAGAAGUAUAAAUAGAAAUAAGAAAAACGUACAUUGAACAAUAUUGCAGAAAUAAGAAACAAUCAGUAGACUUAUUGCCGCAGUAAAMAACGUGCAGAAUUCAAAUGCCCAAUACAUUCAACCCYUCUGAAAUUGUCMUAGUUAAAUAYAGCUAUUUUAUUUUUACCUGCCGACUUUUUACUGAUCAAAUGAAGACCAACAGAGCUGCUACCUGCACUUUCCCCAAAAAUUGUUAUCUUUUCUGGAUCUCCCCCAAAGUGCUGGAUAUUUUCGUGUGUCCAUUUUAACGCGAGAAGUUGGUCUUUCAUCCCAUU
Long non-coding RNA from Dendroctonus ponderosae (mountain pine beetle), 351 nucleotides. RefSeq lists it as uncharacterized. Lineage: Eukaryota; Metazoa; Arthropoda; Insecta; Coleoptera; Curculionidae. The transcript is spliced from 2 exons. The record is from RefSeq and is a predicted model, not a curated record.